AAAUUAAAUGCCCAUGUUUGGGCAGCUAAAUAUAUUAUUAUCUGCACAUUUUUAUGGUUUAUUUAUGUACACUGCUGUGAAGACAUGGUAUUUUUAUUUCUCUUAUUGCAAGGUCUUUUAUAGUCGCCCAUUUUCUCUUGGAAAAAAAAAAGAGAGGAUCAGAAUUAUUUUUUUAGAUGUGUAGCAGUAAUGCUCUCAGGCUUAUAACUUAAUUCUCAUUUUUAUCCUUUUUACAUUAUUAUUUAGUGAUUCACAGGGGUGUCUAAACAUUUACAGUUCUCUGUUAGCAGCAUUUCUUUUAUAACAAUUGAGCUCUCUCAUUUUAAUGAGUACUAUUCAGGUUUUUGAUUCUGUACAAUUACAGUGGGCCACAUGUCUUUAGACUUCUUUGCUAACAUUGUUUGUUUCACUUCUAUCCAAGCCAAUCUAAUCCAAAUACAAUGUGAACUGUGUUUUCUUACUGCUUAACAUCCCCUUGCUAUAUAUACUCUAGUAAUCUCUGUAGAACAAUAUACAGUAAUUUAGAAACCAUGCAUUUGUCAUUAUUGACCAAUUCGGACCAGUAGUAUUAAAGUUUUUGAAAGCAAUGAAUAUUUAUAGGAGAUUUGUGAGGGGGAGGAGGACAUGGGUUACAUCGCAUAGAAUAUUGUGACACAGUAACAUCAGAAACACAAUUAUAGUUUCACGUCAGUACAUACAUAAUGACUUCAUGCAAAAAUGAAAAACAAAACCCCUGUUCAUGUCCAAAUUACAAAGAUUAAAAGCUUAAAGGAAUAUAUUUUCCCCGAUUGUGAGUUAUAGCAACUCAAAUAUAUCAUGUUGGAAUCAGACAUCCAUAAUCUGAAUAGAAUGGGAUGCAUCAGGUAUGGUGUCUGGACUCUUUGUUUAGGGGCUGAUUUUAUGGGGCAGAACUAACCAGUGUCCACUAAAUUUCACUAUGAAACCAACUAAAUUGAUUUGAGAAAGAGUUCUUCAGAGUAACUGAACGAUAAGGCGUACACUGUUCUUAGGUCCAGUGUUAGAUAAAUCCUUUUAACAGUCUUCAGUUAGCAGGGUAAGUAAAUCACAAAUCACUGUUAGCAGAUUCAUGGAAGAAAAUUAAUAGAAUCAGACGAGAUAAUCUGAUAAGGGCAAAAUUGCUGAGGAAACAGUCUUGCCUCAUGUUGGAGGAUGUGAAACAACAGUCUGAUUACUAGGAGUCGUUAUGAAUAGGUGAAUUAUGUGCUAAAUAAUCAUCAGAGUAAUUCAGCAUUUAUUAAUUCUUUUCUCUUUAAGCAAUUCACAGUUGUAAGUUAAAGCCGCUCUCUCUUUCAAGGCACAUCUUUUAUAAUUUUUAUUAGAGGUAAUUUAUUAUUUGCAUUACCUGUAUUUACUUCAUAAUUGAACAUUUUACAUUCAAAUUUAUGUAAUGCAUUAUGCUUGAGAAUAUAUUUCUGCCUGAUUAGCAUAAAUAGUCACUUACCUCAUGAAUUACUAACAAAGUUUAUCUUAAAAUAUAGGUUUUUUUAUUAAGUGGAACACAAACAUAUGUACAAUAAAUUCUGAUUCUCCAGUGCAGUUAGAGAACAACUCACAUUUGGUUACCGGGAGGCGAGGGAGGAAGCAAAAUAUAGACAAAUGAGAUGUGUAGGUUUCUUUCCAAGGGUAUCAUUUAGAUGGGGGCGUGUGUGUAGGGUGGGGUAGGGGGCAAAGUGAAGAAGGCCCUAGGCUUUCCGUACACUGUUUGGAUUGGAUGAUCUUGACGUGAAAUGUGAAUUCUGGAAAAACCUGUAAUUAGUGAUCUCUGCCUUUGUAGAGAACCAUGAUAACAAGUAAAUUAGCACUGGAAGAAUUUGGGGGUUUAUCAUAUUUUUGUUUCAAUUAUUUGCUUAUUUGUUUUUGUCUCUGCAGGUUUCUUCCUUGGAAAACAAUAUACAUCACUUAAUGAAAUCUUUGUUUGUUUUGCACAAGAGAUGUAAAAAAUCCAGAUGUUUUCUUCAGUGAGAAUUCCUGGGAAGGUGUACCAGCCUUCUUCUCUUUCUUCACCUGACAAAGACACCCAACACGGCCUCUCAGACCGGAGGUGUUUAAUAUAUAGUUUUGACACGCAUGAACAUGGGAAUGAAAGGGCUCCUUUUGGUUUUAGACAAUAGACAGAGCUAUAAAAUGAUGAUGGAGCCUGUUUUCCCCACUCUUGUCAUUUUAAGUCAAUAGAUUUCCUGGGUUUCUUCCCCCGCCCCCCCACUUUGCCUUUUCAGGGGAUAGGCAUCUCCUUAGAUUUUUGUUUUUCUUCACUUAGGGUCAGCUUUAUGAUUCGUUCUUCUGCUGUCAUCCUUUUUCAUCCUAUUCACAGCCUGUACCGGUGAGGGAAUUUGUCUCAAAAGCAUUCAGCCCUUCAAAGAUUUUUAUUGUGGUGAACUCAGAACUGAUAAACAGAAAAACAGAAACAGAAAAAGGGAACUGAUAUGGGGGCGAUCUUGAUGCGGGUUGUGUCUCUCAUGCAUGAUAACUCAGAGGACAGGCUCCUCGGUAGUGCGGUAGUGCUAACUCUGUGAAGUUUCUUCACCCUCCUUCCUAGCCCUGGAGGCGGGGUGAUUCAUAGCUCCUGUUCCAAAGGCAUUCAGCAGCCAUUCGACCUGGGAAAGAAACAGAGUUUUAGAAAAUACAGGCCAAAUGUAGAGACGCCUGUGAUUACCAGGAUGAGUAUGUCAGUGCAGGUGGCUUCUGAAUUUCUGUUUCUGAGUUUGUUUGGCUGAUGCCUAAGGAAAGGGGUCCCUUACAGCCCUGUUUUAUACCUUAGUUCUUGGUGGCAACGUGGGUGUUGCUGAUCUCUCUGAUGUGUUUUUCUGUGCACUGAAAACACCAGACAUGCUCCGUGACAUCCUCGGAGCAUCUCCCAUCAUAAUGGAGUGUUCCUAACCUGACAAAGAAUAGCAUAUUACCUCCCCAUCUACUCAAAAUAAAAUUAUAGUAAAAUUUAUCGCCCUUCUGCUAAUAUUUUUUAUUUAGUAACUUUAUAACAGUGAUACAUACUCCUUAUUAAAUAUAAACAUUUGAACAGGACAGAAAUAGAAGGAUAUUCAAUAAAAGAACUGCUACUCCUCAUCUCCACCCCAGUCCUUAAACCCUGGUCUCGGGGGUUACCAUCUGUAAUAGUUGGGGUAUAUGUGGGUACUUUUUACAGAAUGGCAUCGAAGCAUGUACAUAGUUCUUUAACUUGUGCUCCCUUUAAAACACAUUCAUGUUAACAAUCUCAGAAAGAGAUGUUGGGCACUUCUGUCUUCUUUGGCAGAACUCGCCUAAUGGAACCUCAGACCGGGGGAAGUUUGGAGAUCUGAUCUUAACCUCGUCCUUCCAACCGGUAUAGGAGCUUGAAUCUGCUUUAGGUUUAGAUCACCAACUUCCCUGCCAUUUCCUGACGCCAAUUUUGAAGCCAGGGGGCUCAGAGGCAUUUUCUUCAACAGAAGAGUUCAGAGUUUCAGUGUCCACCUUUGAGCUGCAACUAGUCCCUCAGUGGUGUAAAUAUGCAUGCUGCUGCAGAAUCUCCUGUUCCAGGAUCCCACCUCGACCCCUUUCAGAGAAAUCUGGGAAUGAGAGAAGGAACCGGCCCAGGAGUGAUUUAUGACCUGCUGUCUGUGUCCUGCCUGAGGAAGCAUGGCUCUGGCUGUUUGAAGCAGACCCAGACUGGGAUCCUCAGAGAUUGGAAGGAGUGAUGGGGACCCUUCAGGAAAAUGUCACCGACCGUUGACUCUCAGCUCAGCUCGAAGCUGCUGAUGAGGGGGUAGGCUUGGUUGCUGUCACAGUGAUGUGAGCUCAGGCAGUUGGGGUUGGGGAAGAGGGACCAGCCAGGAGACAAAGCAUCUGAGUUCAGCACCCGGGUCCUCCUCUGAUUCACCCUCUGACCUCAGCAAAGCCCUUCACUCUCUUCCUUCAACUCAUUUUUCAGGCUGCAAAUGGACUGAGCUGCGUGAAGCGGUAAAAAACAAACCUGCUUGCAUGGAAGGAAUGUUCCUAGCCAUUUGAGGCUGAAUAUAGGGUGGGUAUAAAUAGGGACCAGACUCCCAUAGACAGAAGGAAGCUGGCAUGCCCGGGCUGCCAUGGAGCAUUGAUGGGUCAUGGUGGCAACGUUGGAAUAUCAGAGACGCUGGAAUAUCACACUGGAAUAUUUCGAGGUCAAAACAACAGACACAUCAAGGCAGGGUCAGAAUGGCACAGUCAACCCCUCCUGCAUCUCCAAGCCAGAGGAUGCUGUUGUUUUAGGCUGACAUUGUUCAGAGCCUUUGGUGGCAGCACAGUGAGGAGGAUCACUGGGCAGGGAGACAUACCCUGGAGGUGCCUGAUGCCAAAAUGAGGAUGUAAAUCCUGCUCUGCCCCAGGUGUAAGACCUUGGGCAAAUUAGCUGACCUCUCUGAACCCGUCUUUUUCUUAGUGAGAGGUAGACAGGAAUCUUGUGAUCAUGAUGAGCAUGUAUACCAAGUGUUUGGCAUGGUGCCUGCCCCGAGCGAACGCUCAAAAGAGCAGGCUCUGUUAACAUGUGCCAGGGACUCUGCCCACACUCUAUACACGUCAUUUUACAGUAUGGGGCCCAGGGCAUAGAAGGAACUUGAGAAAUAACAAUAGUUUCCCCUCUUCUCUCUGCUCUGCUCCUGCCUUAAAGUUGUAUUUACCUCGUAACCUGUCCUCUUUCUCUCCUUCUCUCCUAAGUCUUUGCACGAUUUUGCUCCCUCUUCCCACUUUCCCUGCCCUCUGCUUUAUUUCCUGGCUAAUUUUGACUCUUCUUCAGGUCUUGCAUUUCCUCUUAAAAGCCUUACUUGUGUUCUCUUUGCCCACUGGCCCCCAAGGCAGGCCAGGUGCCCACUCUGUCUGCUGGUUUGUGUUUGAGUCCUCACAGUGCCCCAGGAGUUCCUACCCACCUGUGAACUGCUUAAAGCCAGGGACACCGCCUCUCAUCUCUCCAUCUCCUUCACCUGCUACAGAGCUCAGCAUACAGUAAGCGCUCCAUAAAUGUUUCUUCAGUGAACAUGAUCACACUGUCUGAUUCCUGGCUUCUUUUUUUGAGGCUUGAACCUACACAGAAUGUCCUGUCAAAUGUCCCAGAAAACAUGACUUUGAAAGGGACAGGGUGGCUGGCUCCUGUGUUGCAACACAGCACUUCUUACCUUCGCCUCUCACUAGUCUGAUUGGCCCAUCUUUCAAUUACCAGGAUGCUUAUCUUGCUCACUCAUUAGCCUAUAUCCCUUAGCUGGCAUUGAGUGGACAACAUGGUUGAGAUAUGCGAGCUCUGGAACUGAAGUGGGCUGCAGUCAAAUCUUGCUGGGAUUGGUUUUUGGAGGAAGGGAGGCUUGGGAUUAAGUGGCUGAGUGUAAGUGGGGCAUCCUAUUCCAGCACUGCCUGCUGCUGCUAGAGAGAGCCCUGGUGCAGCUUUGAGUCACAGCUGCUUUUCCCAGGACUUCAAGGCACACAGACACUAUUUUGUAAGCUUCAGAUAAGAAUGCAAGGCCCGCCCUCAUUUCCACAUACCCAAAUCAUGCCCAUUCUUCCAGGCACAGCUCAUAUGAGAUGUGACGUUGCACCUGAAGCUCAGAGCAGAGUGUCGGGCAUCCAUUAGUAAAAGUUUGAUGCUAAUACUAAGCCCCCAGCUCCAGAAGCCCUCCUGCGCUCCUACCUUUCAUUCCUGUAUCCUCACAGUUGUAGUUCGACCUCUCUUUGGGAGCCUCACAAUGUAUCCAACAGGUAGAGUAUCACCUUGCUGAUUGUGUGAUCUUAGAAGAGUUCUCGACGUGCUUUUUGAGUCUCAUUAUCUUCAUCUGUAUAAUGGAAUGUCAAUUCAGCCUCUUUGGGUUGCAAGUGAACAAAAUUUGACCUGAAUUUGUUUAAGCAAAAAGGAUUCUCAUUGGCUUGCAUGGCCCAAAAUCUAGGGACAGGACUAGUUGGGAUCAGGGGUCAUAUAGUGUCAUUGGAACUGGCUUCCUUCCAUCUGUGUGGACUCCAGACCAGGGCUCUGCAUAAGAGUGUGAUAAUUGUAGUAGUUCCAGCCUUUAAUCCUCCUAUGCUGAGUUCAUGGGAGUCAGUUGGAGGCCCCAGUAGGGCGCUCAAAGUCGCGGUUUGGGUUGCAUGGGUCUAGUUCAUUUGACUGCUUAUAGGCUCAUCCCCGAGCCCACCCCUGUGGCAAAGAGAUGAAAUAUCUAAUUGGCUGAGACUUGGACUCAGAUAUGGUAUGGGACAGGGGCCUGGAGAAUUCUCUGAGCCUGUCUGAGUGUGAUGGAAAUGCCAUCACCCAGGGCGACACUGAGGAACCCAGCAUUAAAUGGCAGCAUUACUAACAGCCAACUCAGACAUGAUAUUCACCUGGGCCUUGCCCUUAGUUUUAACUUAUCAGAUUGUCACAGCAACCCUAUCAGAUAUGUGCUGCUGUUAUUUACAUUUGAUGGAGGAUGUUACUAAGGUACCCCCUUAGUUUCCCCUUAGGCACUGCCUUAGAGGGCUUUUCCAGGGCCACAUAGCAGGUGUAGUACAAGAUGUAAAUCCAGGCAUGGCUGCAAAGUUUGCACACACAACUCCUUUCCUUUAUUAUGUAUUGUAGGAGGGAGCCAGUCAAGAAAUGAAAGGUAACAAAACAGAUAAGUAACAUAUAAUAUAUUACGAUGUAAUGUAAUAUGAUAUAGUAUAGUAUCAUAUAAUAUAGUAUAUUACUAUAUAAUAUAGUAACAUAUAUCAUAUCAUAUCAUAUGGUAUCAUGGCAAACACUGGUAAAUGGUCCAUCUUUGUAUCUAUCCCUAAAACAUCUGUUGUGAGUGUGUCUUAGGGAGCUGUUGAGUGAGUGUUGACCAGCUGACCAAGUGACUCAUUUUAUGGGCACAGUGUGAAUCCUUAGAUCCAAGAAGAUUGCUUCUGUCAUCGCAACAUCAUUAUUAUAACAUUCUUGUUUGUUUUGGUUUCACAAGAAUAGCAAAUCAU
RNAcentral lists this long non-coding RNA (6936 nucleotides) under Homo sapiens (human). RNAcentral's name for it is "long non-coding RNA NONHSAT173322.1". The record is from RNAcentral. Lineage: Eukaryota; Metazoa; Chordata; Mammalia; Primates; Hominidae.